UAUAUUAAUACGUUUUAGUAUAAAACAAAUAAAAUAAACUAGAUUAAAACUAUUUAAAGUAUUUAAAACCUACUUUGUGGGUGUAGCACUUUUUUACAGUGUAGAGGAAAUCAACUCA
This is a long non-coding RNA of Puntigrus tetrazona (Sumatra barb), 118 nucleotides long. RefSeq lists it as uncharacterized. The transcript is spliced from 3 exons. NCBI's taxonomy places the organism in Eukaryota, Metazoa, Chordata, Actinopteri, Cypriniformes, Cyprinidae. The record is from RefSeq and is a predicted model, not a curated record.